GUGUCAGCAGCCGCGGUAAUACGUACUGUGCGAACGUUAUUCGGAAUCACUGGGCUUAAAGGGUGCGUAGGCGGCCGUUUAAGUAGGGUGUGAAAUGCCAGAGCUCAACUUUGGCAUUGCGCUCUAGACUGAAUGGCUUGAGUGAGAUAGGGGUGUGCGGAACUUCCAGUGGAGCGGUGAAAUGUGUUGAUAUUGGAAGGAACGCCGGUGGCGAAAGCGGCACACUGGGUCUUAACUGACGCUGAGGCACGAAAGCCAGGGGAGCGAACGGGAUUAGAUACCCCGGUAGUCC
This 292-nucleotide ribosomal RNA is filed under the name uncultured bacterium. Its description in RNAcentral is "partial 16S ribosomal RNA". It matches the Rfam family "Bacterial small subunit ribosomal RNA", at positions 505 to 796 of the family's 1533-position model. The record is from RNAcentral.